This 252-nucleotide ribosomal RNA is filed under the name uncultured bacterium. Its description in RNAcentral is "partial 16S ribosomal RNA". It matches the Rfam family "Bacterial small subunit ribosomal RNA", at positions 524 to 776 of the family's 1533-position model. The record is from RNAcentral.
UACGUAGGAUGCUAGCGUUGUCCGGAUUUACUGGGCGUAAAGCGCGCGCAGGCGGCACUGUAAGUAAGGUGUGAAAUCUCCCUGCUCAACGGGGAGGGUGCACUUUAGACUGCAGAGCUAGAGGACGGUAGAGGGGGGUGGAAUUGCUGGUGUAGCGGUGAAAUGCGUAGAGAUCAGCAGGAACACCCGUGGCGAAGGCGGCCCCUGGGCCGAACCUGACGCUGAGGCGCGAAGGCUAGGGGAGCGAACGGG